RNAcentral lists this ribosomal RNA (520 nucleotides) under uncultured bacterium. RNAcentral describes it as "bacterial SSU rRNA". It matches the Rfam family "Bacterial small subunit ribosomal RNA", at positions 120 to 674 of the family's 1533-position model. The record is from RNAcentral.
GGGAAUCUGCCCCUGGGUUCGGAAUAACAGUUAGAAAUGACUGCUAAUACCGGAUGAUGACGUAAGUCCAAAGAUUUAUCGCCCAGGGAUGAGCCCGCGUAGGAUUAGCUAGUUGGUGAGGUAAAAGCUCACCAAGGCGACGAUCCUUAGCUGGUCUGAGAGGAUGAUCAGCCACACUGGGACUGAGACACGGCCCAGACUCCUACGGGAGGCAGCAGUGGGGAAUAUUGGACAAUGGGCGAAAGCCUGAUCCAGCAAUGCCGCGUGAGUGAUGAAGGCCUUAGGGUUGUAAAGCUCUUUUACCCGGGAUGAUAAUGACAGUACCGGGAGAAUAAGCUCCGGCUAACUCCGUGCCAGCAGCCGCGGUAAUACGGAGGGAGCUAGCGUUAUUCGGAAUUACUGGGCGUAAAGCGCACGUAGGCGGCUUUGUAAGUUAGAGGUGAAAGCCUGGAGCUCAACUCCAGAACUGCCUUUAAGACUGCAUCGCUUGAAUCCAGGAGAGGUGAGUGGAAUUCCGAGU